This 1430-nucleotide small RNA is filed under the name Histoplasma capsulatum var. duboisii H88. RNAcentral's name for it is "Histoplasma capsulatum H88 hypothetical RNA". The record is from RNAcentral. Lineage: Eukaryota; Fungi; Ascomycota; Eurotiomycetes; Onygenales; Ajellomycetaceae.
GUAACAAUGGAGAAUAUUCACUUGAUCCAGUCGAUAAACCGCUGUCCAACGCUUUGUUGUUUCUGCUGUUUCUUGUUGUUUCUGGCCAAAGCUUAGUGGGGUGAUCCAGCCCUAAUCAGAAGCCCUAAUUGGCCCGAUUCGGACGGUUUGGAGAUCCCGCGAUAUAUCUAGUACCCGCUGUGAUUUUAAUGAUACUAUCUAUAUUGUCACCUUUGUAGCGGCCGAUUCAGGAACCAGUCGUCCAUGCAUCUAGAUCUAGGUGUACAUGAUUUUCCCCCUCACUUCGUAGCUAUCGAUACCACAUCCUCAUCAGCAAUGACAUGUCCCAGCCCCACCCGCUGUGGAACAUGGCGUGCACUGGCCCCCCAAACCAACGCAUAUUUAAAAUUAUCCUUCAGUGUCCGAUGAAUUUGAUCGCACACAUCUUCGAUCGUAGCGUUAUUGCGCACAAUCAAUGCCUCUGAAAAGUCGGGAUCGACACCCUUUCUGUUAUAAUUGCCGAGCUGCAACUCCUUCCAGCACCGAUCAAUCACGUCCUGAAUACCCAGAUCCAGUUCACAGCUCAUAACGCACGUGUUGGGUUCUCGGGCUAGUUUGUCGAGGAAGUCCAGGCUGACACUGUCUAUUUUGUUGUAGACAUAAAGGCUGGUGGACAAGAAAAAGUGUGUUAGUUCGACAGAUGUUGCGGUUUUAACGAAAAUCAAGAGAAACGAAACUACCAUUUAAUGUAUUUCCUGUGGUCUUUCAUAAUAACGUCGAUAAAGUCAUCAACAGUAGCUGAGCAAGAUAUCCAUUAGUUCUCCUCGCCUCUCGUGCAGCAUACUUAAGAAGAAAAAGGAACGUGGAAAAACAAAGAAAAAAUCCUUGAAUCGACAAACGUACCAUUCUCAUCCCGGACCAAAACUUCGCAAUUCAAAAUCUUGUAGUCGCGUAAUAUAUUGAAGACCAUUUUUUCAUCCAGAUUUUUCGGCGGCGUCUGGAAUGUGAUUUUCAUACCACCUGCUUUUUUCGCUUUCAGGUAAAUGUUUCUUCCAACACAUAAUGGAGAUACACAUAUAUUAGCAUAGAUGUUAUGAAUAGUGUACCGCAUUAAAAGCAGCAAUAACUCACGGCGGUUCCCGAUUUAACCGGAUUCCCACUGCCUCUAAUUCAGCUUCUAGUAGCGCCCGCUGUUCGGCACGUUUUGUAGCAUCAAGAACCAUCAUUAUUAGAUCGCUAGUCUAGCAGUAGAGAUUUUGUUAGAUAUACGAAGUUAAUAUAUUCAAGAACAGAGGAUGAGAGCCAUAAUGAAAACACCGGGGACAUAAUGCCUACACACCUUAGCAGCAGAAAUAACCUGCCUCCCUCUGCCCUUACCCUCGGCUGCGCCUUCGAUAAUACCAGGGAGAUCAAGGAUCUGGAUCUCGGCACCGCCGUACUCCAAAACGCCC